CAGAGCAAAACAGUCGUGGAA
RNAcentral lists this microRNA (21 nucleotides) under Malus domestica (apple). RNAcentral's name for it is "mdm-miR10983". Lineage: Eukaryota; Viridiplantae; Streptophyta; Magnoliopsida; Rosales; Rosaceae. The record is from miRBase by way of RNAcentral.